Molecule: ribosomal RNA, 232 nt
Filed under: Kocuria rhizophila
Lineage: Bacteria; Bacillati; Actinomycetota; Actinomycetes; Micrococcales; Micrococcaceae
Description: partial 16S ribosomal RNA
Rfam family: Bacterial small subunit ribosomal RNA
Source: RNAcentral
GUUGCACAAUGGGCGGAGGCCUGAUGCAGCGACGCCGCGUGAGGGAUGACGGCCUUCGGGUUGUAAACCUCUUUCAGCACGGAAGAAGCGAAAGUGACGGUACGUGCAGAAGAAGCGCCGGCUAACUACGUGCCAGCAGCCGCGGUAAUUCGUAGGGCGCAAGCGUUGUCCGGAAUUAUUGGGCGUAAAGAGCUCGUAGGCGGUUUGUCGCGUCUGCUGUGAAAGCCCGGGG